Molecule: long non-coding RNA, 413 nt
Organism: Mus musculus (house mouse)
Lineage: Eukaryota; Metazoa; Chordata; Mammalia; Rodentia; Muridae
Product: predicted gene 15247
Exons: 2
Source: RefSeq, marked validated
GAUCUCCGGGGCCACCCGGUGGCGAGAAACGCGCAAGUGCACCCCCGGUUCUCUGCCUCGCGGGGACGGAUCUGGGACCCGAAGGCCCCAAUUGAGAACCUCGAUGCGGCUGCUGGGAACCUCAGUGUUUCACAUUGGUCCUUGAUUCACUUGUGUGAGGCUGUCAGUGAGGCCCAGGACGGAAAACGUAAAAGAAAGGCCGUGCACGGUGUAGUGGUUCUGCUUGAUGUUGGGCACGAUCAUCCAGCUGUCCGCCGAGUUACACAGACCUGCGGAGCCGAGGAGACAGGUGCCGUCACAGGCCACGUCUGCAGAAUGGCAGAUUAUUUGGACAUUGAACAUUGGAAAACGGAGAGCUUUCUGGCUUUUUAUGCGGCUUGAUCAAUAAAAUACUGCUCAGCGUGCUACCUCUA